GCCAGACUCCUACGGGAGGCAGCAGUGGGGAAUAUUGCACAAUGGGGGAAACCCUGAUGCAGCGACGCCGCGUGAGUGAGGAAGUAUUUCGGUAUGUAAAGCUCUAUCAGCAGGGAAGAAAAAAUGACGGUACCUGACUAAGAAGCACCGGCUAAAUACGUGCCAGCAGCCGCGGUAAUACGUAUGGUGCAAGCGUUAUCCGGAUUUACUGGGUGUAAAGGGAGCGCAGGCGGUGCGGCAAGUCUGGUGUGAAAGCCCGCGGCCCAACCGCGGGACUGCAUUGGGAACUGGCGCGCUGGAGUGCCGGAGGGGUAGGCGGAAUUCCUAGUGUAGCGGUGAAAUGCGUAGAUAUUAGGAGGAACACCAGUGGCGAAGGCGGCCUACUGGACGGUGACUGACGCUGAGGCUCGAAAGCGUGGGGAGCAAACAGGAUUAGAUACCCCCGUAU
RNAcentral lists this ribosomal RNA (448 nucleotides) under uncultured bacterium. RNAcentral describes it as "bacterial SSU rRNA". It matches the Rfam family "Bacterial small subunit ribosomal RNA", at positions 330 to 793 of the family's 1533-position model. The record is from RNAcentral.